Molecule: ribosomal RNA, 200 nt
Filed under: uncultured bacterium
Lineage: Bacteria
Description: partial 16S ribosomal RNA
Rfam family: Bacterial small subunit ribosomal RNA
Source: RNAcentral
CACGUAGGCACCAAGCGUUGUCCGAAUUUAUUGGGCGUAAAGGGCUCGUAGGCGGUUCGGUAAGUCGGGUGUGAAAACUCUGGGCUCAACCCAGAGCCGCCACCCGAUACUGCUGUGACUCGAGUGCGGUAGGGGAGCGGGGAAUUCCUGGUGUAGCGGUGAAAUGCGCAGAUAUCAGGAGGAACACCGAGUGCGAAGGC